Long non-coding RNA from Dermacentor silvarum, 239 nucleotides. RefSeq lists it as uncharacterized. NCBI's taxonomy places the organism in Eukaryota, Metazoa, Arthropoda, Arachnida, Ixodida, Ixodidae. The transcript has 3 exons. The record is from RefSeq and is a predicted model, not a curated record.
CAACGAACCAGCACCGAUGCCUGCUCCUCUUAUGGCUGCCCCUUUGCCAAGAAAGGAGUUCGCACAAUGAGGUCGUAGAGCGCUCACAAAAGCAUCAUAUGGGCUAAGCAGAGCUUCAUUUCCGACUGCUGAUGUACUGUCUACACCUACCUCAAGGCCCACAACCAGACCAGUUUCAACCAUGCAUGGGCCCAUCUGGUAAGCAUAAGGACUACAUUCUGCUAGACUGCUGUUCAAAU